UGCAAGGUAAAGCCCCUCUCAUACAUAUAGUAAAUUGCAGUCCUAAGAUGCACAUUACUCUGUGCAUUCUUAUCUAUACUGUCGCGUCUUAUCUUCACCGACCCAUUCCCCAGCCGAGUUUCUUGGUGAUUCCCUGAUGCCAAGGUGGUCAUCGUAAUGACCCAGCAACAUCUCUUCAACAGCCUUAUUCUCUCUUCUCCUCCUGACACAUACUAACAAGUUAGCUUACUAACUUUUAGCUUCCAUCUCAUUUGCAAUAUAAUAACCUUGUAAACAUGUAUUUCUUCAUUUCCAUAGCCAACUGAAAUUAUUAACUAUAUGCAUACUAACUGAUUUUGAAAAUAACCAAAUCACAGUUUACACCUUAUACCAAUUGUUUUUGCAAAAUCUAAUAUACUAACUGUUUUCGAAAACCAAUUACCAAUCUUUGCAUAUUCAAUUCCCAUAACUUGAUAGCAUAACAUAAUCAUUAUCAAAACAAAACCCAUAAUUAAUUCAAUACAUAUUAUACUAACAAAUAAACAAACCCAUCUCUGUUAGCUAUCUUUGAUAAUUUCCAUAUAUCUAACUAUUUUGCAUACAUAUAACCAUAUGACUGAUAUGAGCUAACUUCCAAUUUAAUUACCAUACAUAUUACCAUGUAUUCUAUUUCUAAUUACUGGAUAACAUGAUUAUUAAUAAUCCACACAAUUCCAGAAUUCCUAUCUUUAAAUUCCCAUCCACGAAAUCAAUCCAAUUUAUACACUAACUGAUUGUUUUUGCAAUUUAUGUUUAUGUAAUCAACAUUUGAUAAUCUCUUCUUUCUAUAAGAACAUAUAAUAUCAUAUAAAUCCAAAAAUAUACAGAUAAAUUGCUUGCAGCUAAACACAAAAACAUAUAAUAUCAUAAACCCACAAAUAUAAAUCGGUAAAUUCUAGAUCUAGUCUAAUCCGGUUCAUAAACCCUUAAAAUAUCUUAUUGAAACGAGAGCGGAAAAUACCUGAGACAGUGAGAUGAGGACGUCAAGGAGAAUAGAGUAGGGUUUUAGCCUUUUUAGGGGAGAGGAGGAACUGCCGAAGUGCCGAUCUGUGAAGAAGUGAAGUGAGGUCGAGGAGAAUAGCGUCGAUCGAUCGAAGUGAAGUGAAUUGAGGUGGUGCUGUAUCAGACUCUCUGGUCUCAGACUCUCAAUCCCUUACUCCCUUUAUUAUGCCGGUAUUUAGCCCUCAGCGAGGAGUCAGGAGAUUAGAGAUAGAGAUAGAGAUAGAGAUAGGGUUUUUAUAAAUGAUCGGGCGGGCCGGG
This 1278-nucleotide long non-coding RNA is filed under the name Panax ginseng (ginseng). RNAcentral's name for it is "long non-coding RNA (PGIN_LNC016145)". The record is from RNAcentral. Lineage: Eukaryota; Viridiplantae; Streptophyta; Magnoliopsida; Apiales; Araliaceae.